RNAcentral lists this long non-coding RNA (208 nucleotides) under Gossypium raimondii (Peruvian cotton). Its description in RNAcentral is "long non-coding RNA (GRAI_LNC010813)". The record is from RNAcentral. Lineage: Eukaryota; Viridiplantae; Streptophyta; Magnoliopsida; Malvales; Malvaceae.
GAGGUGGUUUCCGAUUUGGGGGAAAAAAAAGGGAAGGGAAUUUAGGGAUUUGGCUCUGAAGAAAAAAAAGGGAAGGGAAGCACUAUCGGGGAAAUGGGGAGGGGAAUUGGGAAAUGGGAAAGUUAAAACUAAUAAUAAAUUUUUAAAAAUAAAAAAAAAUUAUUUAGAUCCGGGCCGGGCGGGCCAAAAAAAUUUUACCAGAGGCCCG